CACUGCAGUUGAAGGAAGCCAGGGCCAGAGGGCUGAGUUCCUCCAGAAAGGGCUGGGACUGGUGGCUUGAAGUGGAGCAGACUGACUGAGGAAGAGCUCUGGGUGUGGCAGAAGAACCAGAGUCUUGCCCCGGUCCCCAAGAAAUGGAAUGGAUGAGUCUCGGAGGUGUUUUCUGUCUCUAAGAAGCUCUUAUAUGAACGUGGAUUGAAACACACACUCCAAGUCAUGGCUUUUGUCCCGAAACCAUGGCCGUGCCAAACCACUGUCCUACUUCUGUGGUUUGUGAGUAAGAGAUGAUUCCCACUGACCCAUGCUUAAGAGAUGAGCUGUUCUGUAUGCUUGGCGUCCUGCAUUCCACUCUGGAGUAUGGCCUGGCUUAUGUUGGGUUUCACUUUUCCAUAAGCAUUCAUCAGAAAUCAGCUGAACGUGGGUGGUGAUGAUUGUCACUCCAAGCAGGUGUGGUGGCUGAACAUUGGGAUACUAGGCAUGCUGCAGACCUCUGCUCUGUGUUGGCCCUGGAGUAUUGCUGGAGCAUCCCCCCUUCAUGCUCACCGAGGUGACUACCCAGGAGGCAUCGGGGCAACGCCCAUUGGGAAAACUCUGCAGCCACUGAGUCUCCUUGAAAUUCAAGAAGUUCAGUUCAUAUGUAAUAAAGAGGUUCCCUACAAAUUGGAGCGAGUUAACCAUCUCCAUUCUCCCCACGCAUCUGGGCAGGUAGGUGCUCUUCUUCCCCUGACCUUGUGUACCUUCUCCUCCUUUGAAUAACCUCUUAAACAUUUUAAUGGGUGUAGCUUCCACAGCGACACAUUCUGGUGGCAGUGGGUACAUGGUGGCUUGAAAUGGGAUAUACGUGCCUAGCUGGACAGUGAAAGGGUUAAACUUCUUCACCAGGGCAUGGGGGAGGAACCUGCCACGUCCCAUGAAGACUGCCUGAGCUUCCAGGCACUGAAGGGAGGGGCCUUCAGCUUGGGCUAAUUAAGAGGCAGCCAUAAAGAGGGUGGAGGCACUUUCUCCUCCAUGAUCAGGGGAUUUACAAUGACCUGUCCUGAAGCCAAGGGAAGAAGUCUAGUGUUUGUUUACUCUUGUCGGUGAGGUGAGAAAGGGGAGCUUAAACGGCCCUGCCAAGGGGAAGCCAUCCUGGAAAUCUGACCCUGGCAAGAAGAAGCUUGUUUAUUUGCUCCCCUGAGGCAAGGGAACCAUCUGAUUACCACCCUGAGGACUUUGGUUUGCCUUUCCCUCAGAGGACACAGGAGACUCCUUAGUGCAUGGCCCUCCUUGGAGACCAGGGACAACUGUUUAUUUGCCAGUUGUUCUCCACAGGCGACACUGUAUUUCUUAACCUCUUCCUGAGGAUCCCUUAAUAAUAACACUUGUUUACCAGCUGCUAUGGAUCUGUACUCCUUGCUGGCUGGAAACAGGGCCCACUGUGCACAUGAGGCAGAACUGACCGUGCCCUCUCAUGGCUAAAUAAAACCCAGUAGGCCAACCGAGGCCCUGAUUCACUGCUGUCCGGCACCUCGUGGCAUCAUGUGAGCCAGUACAAAGCAGGUGUGCUACGCUCCCUUUCUUGUUUUCCACCCACUCUGCGCUGCUCUACGUUGCAACACAAGCUGCAGAGCAGUGGUGGCUCAAGCCUAGGGUCUUGAGGACUCAGAGGGAGUUUUUGUAUUUCCAUUUGGGAAGGCCACUGAAUUCCGUCUUUCAGGCUUUCCUUCCACGUUCUCCAGGCUGGUUCCUAACACCCCAGAAACCUCCCUCCCGGGGCUGGGAUUUUCACCUCCAAAGCCUGAUUUGCACGCUGGCCUCCACUUGCACAGACACAAACAACUGACCAUGUCCUGUUUGAGCACUGGCACUGGUGUGCAGGAUUAAUGGAUUCCAGCAUCUGCACACAGAAGGGAGAGAAUAUGCAGAACCACCCCCAAAGCCCACUGUUUGACAUUAGAAUGGGUGCACAACUUUAUAUGUGAAAACACCUAUGCACACACUUUUCAAGUACUGACCCUGGCAAUCAUCGAUGAUUAGCAGGUGCACGGUCAGUGCUUCUGCACAAACAAGGUGUGUACAAUUCUUUGAACAGCCAAAACUGUGCAUGUGCAACAGGGGAAUGCUUUUCUAAGUCAUCCUCUCUUCGUCCCUGGUGAGAGGUCACUGGUCUUCUGGGACUGCUAGCCCUGGCUCUGAUAUCAGUUACUGUUUUUACAGCAAGAGAUUUUCCCCCUGCUUGUGCCUCCAGAGUAAAGCAGGUCACAUUACUCCAUCCUGUCCUCAAUCCCCUUAUGGGCUGAGUUAAUCCCAAAGGGUUGGGUGGUUCUUUGCGGUUGUUUAGUAGAAGUGUAUUGAAUGCACUGAUAGCAGAGGAGUUAGUGAGAAGCCAUUUUGUCCUUACCAGCUGGGAAAUGCAUUCCCUAGUCAUCCUCCACUGACCAAUGGAAUUCCACGUGCCAAGGGACUCGCCAAUUCCACGAAGCUCAGCUAUGUCCCUCAGAACUCUAUCGUGUUCCAAAUGAGAACUGCUGAGUCACUCGGUCUCUCAAACACAGGGGUCAGGUUGGAGCAAGGAUGGGGAGAAAAAAAGCAGAGGUCCUCCUCCAAGCUUCACCCACAAAAUGGGCUCUGCCCAGGGGACUCACCGGAAAGGAGGUGCUAUUUCCAAUAGACGGGAGAUGUUCAAAAUACAUUGGCAUGUGCCCCUUAAAUCCAUUAGGCUCCUUGGCCUUCGCCCUGAGGAGGUCUUGAAUAUGCCCAUGGGAUCUGCUAGACUCCUUGAUUCCUUCUUGAUUUAGGACAGAAACCAAUAACGGUAUCUCAAAAAAUGCCACACAUUUGUGACGCCAAAAUGAGAGGUCAUUCACAGUCAAUUCUGUGGAUCUACUCCCUCUCUUCUCUUAUACAAGAGGAAAGAAAUCGUUAACGAUGUUGACAUUUAAAUGAUCGUGACUGAGCAUUUGAGUUUAACCUCAUGGUGAGAUGAAUGGGGCAGUUCACACCUCACAGAGUUAUUAUUCCAGGCUCUCUGCAGAUUCAUUCAGCUCUGCAUCACUUAACUUGGUUCACAUUUUUUCAGAUUUCCUUCACAGCCAUAUUGGUCUCCAGUUUUUCCCCUCGGAUCUGCUCUGCACAGGGCCGGCUCUAGGUUUUUUGCCACCGCAAGCAAAAAAAAUGUUGGCUGCCCCCCCCCCCCGC
Molecule: long non-coding RNA, 3186 nt
Organism: Trachemys scripta elegans
Lineage: Eukaryota; Metazoa; Chordata; Testudines; Emydidae
Exons: 3
Source: RefSeq, a predicted model, not a curated record